RNAcentral lists this ribosomal RNA (460 nucleotides) under uncultured bacterium. RNAcentral describes it as "partial 16S ribosomal RNA". It matches the Rfam family "Bacterial small subunit ribosomal RNA", at positions 338 to 795 of the family's 1533-position model. The record is from RNAcentral.
CCUACGGGGGGCAGCAGUGAGGAAUAUUGGUCAAUGGCCGGAAGGCUGAACCAGCCAUGCCGCGUGAAGGUCAGUGCCCUAUGGGCGUUAAACUUCUUUUGUGCGGGAGCAAUAAUGGUCACGUGUGGCCAGACGAGAGUACCGUACGAAUAAGCAUCGGCUAACUCCGUGCCAGCAGCCGCGGUAAUACGGGGGAUGCAAGCGUUAUCCGGAUUUAUUGGGUUUAAAGGGUGCGUAGGCUGUGAGGUAAGUCAGCGGUGAAAUGCCCCCGCUCAACGGGGUGAAGUGCCAUUGAUACUGCCUGGCUGGAAUGCGGAUGCCGUGGGAGGAAUGUGUGGUGUAGCGGUGAAAUGCAUAGAUAUCACACAGAACACCGAGUGCGAAGGCAUCUCACGAAUCCGCGAUUGACGCUGAUGCACGAAAGCGUGGGUAUCAAACAGGAUUAGAUACCCUAGUAGUC